RNAcentral lists this ribosomal RNA (133 nucleotides) under Aspergillus proliferans. RNAcentral describes it as "partial 28S ribosomal RNA". It matches the Rfam family "Eukaryotic large subunit ribosomal RNA", at positions 1 to 130 of the family's 3401-position model. The record is from RNAcentral. Lineage: Eukaryota; Fungi; Ascomycota; Eurotiomycetes; Eurotiales; Aspergillaceae. RNAcentral also lists the same sequence under 3 other names.
GGUUGACCUCGGAUCAGGUAGGGAUACCCGCUGAACUUAAGCAUAUCAAUAAGCGGAGGAAAAGAAACCAACAGGGAUUGCCUCAGUAACGGCGAGUGAAGCGGCAAGAGCUCAAAUUUGAAAUCUGGCCCCU